AAAAAAAAAGUAUCGUUCGGUACGGUAAGGUUCUUCGGUUCAGAACCCCUGAGAACCGUGCACACCCCAAGCAGAAGCAAAAUGAUGCAGGACCUUUUGCUAAGGAUUUUAGUUUUUGCUCUACCUAUGUUAGUAAAAAAAUUAGGAAAUUUAAUCAAGUAAUAGUAUUUUAUUUAUUUAGGAAAUUUGAGUUGGUUAUCCCACUUGGUAUUGGUUUAGUAUUUUCUUAGUUUCGGAUUCCUAGUUCUACUACUAGGACAAGAUAUAAUGCUAUAAAUAACCAUGUCAUCUAGGUAUUUUUGUAAACAUUAUUAUUGAUAUUGACAAGUGAGAACUAAUAGAAUUUGAGAGUUUAUCUAUUUUUCCCUUUUUAUUGUUUAUGGUUCUACAUCACAAAGGCUCCAAACAAGAAUAAGUCCAAAACAAGAAGACUCGUGGUCUAUAAUACUUGUUCUUUCUAGUCAGAAUUAACAAAUUCUCCCAUUUUUCUUCUUUGGAUUCUGUUCCUACUCAUCAAAUUGCUCUCCCAUUUUAUUCCUCAUAUCUCUUUAAUGAAUUCUUCUUUUCCUACAAUUUGUUUUUUUAACAAAGCAAUGACACUAAUUAGAUUUUCAUGAAUAGAAACAAAAUGGGGAAAAAAGAAACACAUAAUGGAUUUCCAAAUCAGUAAGUUCAUUCAGAGGAGCAACUAAGACUAAACAAAUAUCAAAAAAUAAAAACCCACAACUUACCUUUUUGGCAUGGCCUUCUCAUCAGAUUUGUAACUCCAGUCUAUCCCUUUAAGUGCAGCCUUCUCAAGAGGAUCACCAACCAGUUUGUUGUCCACAAACACUAACGCAUGACAAGAAGCCAAAAUUUCCACAGUUCGAACGGGCACUUUAGUCAUAUCAGAUUCUAAAUUCAUUCCGUCA
This 911-nucleotide unclassified non-coding RNA is filed under the name Hevea brasiliensis (rubber tree). Lineage: Eukaryota; Viridiplantae; Streptophyta; Magnoliopsida; Malpighiales; Euphorbiaceae. The record is from RNAcentral.